GGUGAACGCUGGCGGUAGGCCUAACACAUGCAAGUCGAACGGCAGCACAGUAAGAGCUUGCUCUUACGGGUGGCGAGUGGCGGACGGGUGAGGAAUACAUCGGAAUCUACUUUUUCGUGGGGGAUAACGUAGGGAAACUUACGCUAAUACCGCAUACGACCUACGGGUGAAAGCAGGGGAUCUUCGGACCUUGCGCGAUUGAAUGAGCCGAUGUCGGAUUAGCUAGUUGGCGGGGAAAAGGCCCACCAAGGCGACGAUCCGUAGCUGGUCUGAGAGGAUGAUCAGCCACACUGGAACUGAGACACGGUCCAGACUCCUACGGGAGGCAGCAGUGGGGAAUAUUGGACAAUGGGCGCAAGCCUGAUCCAGCCAUACCGCGUGGGUGAAGAAGGCCUUCGGGUUGUAAAGCCCUUUUGUUGGGAAAGAAAAGCAGCAGGUUAAUACCCCGCUGUUCUGACGGUACCCAAAGAAUAAGCACCGGCUAACUUCGUG
This 492-nucleotide ribosomal RNA is filed under the name uncultured bacterium. RNAcentral's name for it is "partial 16S ribosomal RNA". It matches the Rfam family "Bacterial small subunit ribosomal RNA", at positions 28 to 507 of the family's 1533-position model. The record is from RNAcentral.